RNAcentral lists this unclassified non-coding RNA (308 nucleotides) under Hevea brasiliensis (rubber tree). Lineage: Eukaryota; Viridiplantae; Streptophyta; Magnoliopsida; Malpighiales; Euphorbiaceae. The record is from RNAcentral.
AAUCGAUGUUCAAAGAGAAGUCACAUAAUCGCUUAACACAAGUACCACAGAUAUCAAAAAAACACUCUAGGUGACUACAGAAGAAGACAUCAUAGACAAAAACAAGAAACCUAGCUCAUCCUUUGAGCAAUUUCCUUCUGAAGGAGCCUCUCCUUGGCUUUAGUUUUUGCCUGAGAUUUAGAUCCCAUGAUGCCACCUCCCCACUUCUUCCGGACCUCAUCAAACUUAUCAUUGAAGUUUGCCUUGAUAGCCUCCAAGAUUUUACUGAACUCGAGCUUGUCCUCAUUCUUGACUGUGGUGAGGCACAG